Molecule: small nucleolar RNA, 129 nt
Organism: Meriones unguiculatus (Mongolian gerbil)
Lineage: Eukaryota; Metazoa; Chordata; Mammalia; Rodentia; Muridae
Source: Ensembl
UGAACCUAGAGUCAUCGCAGGUGUGACUGUGUGUCACACAUGAGUCAGUGACUGGCUGAGAAGAGAGAAUAUGUGUCUAUGAUCAGUGUUCUGAACUAGGAACAACUGAAUUAUUAGUAGCCUAACAUU